ACGAGUGGCGGACGGGUGAGUAACACGUAGGUAACCUGCCCAGAAGCGGGGGACAACAUUUGGAAACAGAUGCUAAUACCGCAUAACAGCGUUGUUCGCAUGAACAACGCUUAAAAGAUGGCUUCUCGCUAUCACUUCUGGAUGGACCUGCGGUGCAUUAGCUUGUUGGUGGGGUAACGGCCUACCAAGGCGAUGAUGCAUAGCCGAGUUGAGAGACUGAUCGGCCACAAUGGGACUGAGACACGGCCCAUACUCCUACGGGAGGCAGCAGUAGGGAAUCUUCCACAAUGGGCGCAAGCCUGAUGGAGCAACACCGCGUGAGUGAAGAAGGGUUUCGGCUCGUAAAGCUCUGUUGUUAAAGAAGAACACGUAUGAGAGUAACUGUUCAUACGUUGACGGUAUUUAACCAGAAAGUCACGGCUAACUACGUGCCAGCAGCCGCGGUAAUACGUAGGUGGCAAGCGUUAUCCGGAUUUAUUGGGCGUAAAGAGAGUGCAGGCGGUUUUCUAAGUCUGAUGUGAAAGCCUUCGGCUUAACCGGAGAAGUGCAUCGGAAACUGGAUAACUUGAGUGCAGAAGAGGGUAGUGGAACUCCAUGUGUAGCGGUGGAAUGCGUAGAUAUAUGGAAGAACACCAGUGGCGAAGGCGGCUACCUGGUCUGCAACUGACGCUGAGACUCGAAAGCAUGGGUAGCGAACAGGAUUAGAUACCCUGGUAGUCCAUGCCGUAAACGAUGAGUGCUAGGUGUUGGAGGGUUUCCGCCCUUCAGUGCCGGAGCUAACGCAUUAAGCACUCCGCCUGGGGAGUACGACCGCAAGGUUGAAACUCAAAGGAAUUGACGGGGGCCCGCACAAGCGGUGGAGCAUGUGGUUUAAUUCGAAGCUACGCGAAGAACCUUACCAGGUCUUGACAUCUUGCGCCAACCCUAGAGAUAGGGCGUUUCCUUCGGGAACGCAAUGACAGGUGGUGCAUGGUCGUCGUCAGCUCGUGUCGUGAGAUGUUGGGUUAAGUCCCGCAACGAGCGCAACCCUUGUUACUAGUUGCCAGCAUUAAGUUGGGCACUCUAGUGAGACUGCCGGUGACAAACCGGAGGAAGGUGGGGACGACGUCAGAUCAUCAUGCCCCUUAUGACCUGGGCUACACACGUGCUACAAUGGACGGUACAACGAGUCGCGAACUCGCGAGGGCAAGCAAAUCUCUUAAAACCGUUCUCAGUUCGGACUGCAGGCUGCAACUCGCCUGCACGAAGUCGGAAUCGCUAGUAAUCGCGGAUCAGCAUGCCGCGGUGAAUACGUUCCCGGGCCUUGUACACACCGCCCGUCACACCAUGAGAGUUUGUAACACCCAAAGUCGGUGGGGUAACCUUUUAGGAGCCAGCCGCCUAAGGUGGGACAGAUGAUU
This 1400-nucleotide ribosomal RNA is filed under the name Limosilactobacillus fermentum. RNAcentral describes it as "Lactobacillus fermentum 16S ribosomal RNA". It matches the Rfam family "Bacterial small subunit ribosomal RNA". Lineage: Bacteria; Bacillati; Bacillota; Bacilli; Lactobacillales; Lactobacillaceae. The record is from RNAcentral.